Molecule: ribosomal RNA, 419 nt
Filed under: Prochaetodermatidae sp. NHM_344
Lineage: Eukaryota; Metazoa; Mollusca; Caudofoveata; Chaetodermatida; Prochaetodermatidae
Description: partial 16S ribosomal RNA
Rfam family: Bacterial large subunit ribosomal RNA
Source: RNAcentral
AAGGUAGCAUAACUCCUAGCCUUUUAAUUAAAGGCCAGUCAAUGGUCAAACGAGGGUCUAGCUGUCUCUUACCCAGAAAUAAAAACUAACUUCCAAGUGAAAAGGCUAGGAUAAAAUUGAAAGACGAGAAGACCCCGUAGAAUUUAAUUAGAACCUGAGCCCGACUCAAGCCGCUGCGCAGGGCAUAAUUUAAUUUGGGCAAUUAGAGAAAAUAAAAAACUUCUCUCACGAAAACACCAAUCAGUAUGACGGGCGACAGAAUAAAAAAGAGAGAAAUUACCUCGGGGAUAACAGCAUAAUCCUACUGGAGAGCACACAUUAAUAGUAGGGAUUAUGACCUCGAUGUUGGAUUAGAAAACCCGAAAGAUGCAACCGUCUUUUUAAGGUGGUCUGUUCGACCAUUAAAUUUCUACGUGAUC